UGUGAGGAGCGCCUCUGCCCGGCCGCGACCCCAUCUGGGAACUGAGGAGUGUCUCUGCCCAGCCACGACCCCAUCUGGGAGGUGAGGAGCGUCUCUGCCCAUCUGCCCCGUCUGAGAAGUGAGGAGCCCCUCCGCCCGGCAGCCGCCCUGUCUGGGAGGCUCAGUCACCUUUCCCGGUUGCCUUGAUCCAAGGCCUGAUAUGGGAUAUCCAGGAAGAGUCGAUGGUCACAGAGAAGGCCGUGCCAAUGGGCAGAGGUCUGGGAGGUCUCACUCAUUCUGUGCCUGUGAACAUGGCGGCGCCCGUUGUCACGGCCCCGGGCAGAGCUCUGCUGCGGGCGGGCGCUGGACGGCUGCUUCGGGGAGGCGUCCAGGAGCUACUGCGGCCG
This 386-nucleotide non-coding RNA is filed under the name Pan troglodytes (chimpanzee). The record is from RNAcentral. Lineage: Eukaryota; Metazoa; Chordata; Mammalia; Primates; Hominidae.